Vigna umbellata (rice bean) is the source of this 1614-nucleotide non-coding RNA. Lineage: Eukaryota; Viridiplantae; Streptophyta; Magnoliopsida; Fabales; Fabaceae. The record is from RefSeq and is a predicted model, not a curated record.
AGUUUGCCUUUACAAUUAAUUAUCUCCUUGUACACUAAUUGCCCAGUUGCUAUCUUGCUCUCCACUUAGCAUUCACCUUUCACGAUUUUCUUCUUCACUCCUUCCGUCAUCAUUGGCCCUUCACCAGUAAGCUCUCUUCUGUCGCAAUCCCUAAUGGUUUUCCCUCUCGUAUGAAAUUUGUUUCCCAUGCCCCUGUUCUCUUUCGAAAACCCUAAAAAUUUGAAGAGGCUAAAGCUUUGGCAGCAAUGUAGCAAGAAACUCGCAACGACACUCGUAACGGGUGGAACACUUGAACACUCUGGGCACUGUGCUUUCGAGUCCCGAGCUAAGGGAACUAUUAGUCUCACACAUAUGCUUCGACAACAACCACCCUUGGAUGUGGAAGUUCACGCACCACACUCUCUCUUCGUGCCUCCUCUUCCUCCUUCAAAUGCUCUCUCUUCUGGCUUCCAACGCCAUACCUCACCACUACUCUCACACUCACUCUUUCGCUCUCUUUCUUCCUCUCCUAUCGCAAUACGCGUUCUCCUUUCACCCUACGCUGUCUCUCUCCUGCAACCGCAAGAUUGUGAGUUCUGUGGACUUCGCACUUCGGAAACUAUAAGGUGUGCGAUCUGGAGAUAGGGCACGUGUUUGUGCCAUUCUUUUACGAGAUUGUGAUUUCGCUGCUCGAUUGUAUGCUGAUCGAUUGGGGAAUUCAAGAGACGUUUAGUAAGAAAUCGAGUGAUCUAUUCAGGUUCUUGGGCACUUUUUUGUCCUCCUAUGCCCUCCUACAUUAGUUAUUAAUGCAGCCAAUCAGGCAGCUAAAGCUGCAAGAUUCAUUUAUAAUUCUACGAAUGGAAAUGGUGAAUCUGGCACUAGAAUUCAUGUUAAUGCCAAUACAAAAGGAGGUGGGAACUUGAGACAUCUUAGAGUGGAGGCUUGCAUAGCUAGGAAUUUAAUGGAUACAUCAUUAUACUUCUGUUCUGGAUGGUGGCAAUUUCUCGAUCAGAAGUUCUGAAACAAAUUCAUCUGGUAGAAGAAUAUUCUUUGCUUUGAUAUCUUCGAGAAACUUGUGGUAUUCAUUGAUUUGAGUUUUUAUGUCCUUGUCUUCAAUCAUCUCCCAACGGUAGUAGUUUCCUAUGACGAAUCUUUGUCUGACAAACAUCUUCGACAGUGUAUUUGAGAAUUAAUGAGUCCUAAAUGUCUUUUGCUUCCUUUUGUAGGAACAAUACACAUCCAACAAAUCAUUAGAAAAUGCAAUAAGCAAAGUGUAUCGACAUACCUUGUUCGCGUAAGUCCACUCUUCAACUAGUUUUGAGUUUGUAGGAAUACUAGGGUCAGGCCUCGGAGAUGAAAGAACAGUAGCAACUCCAUACAUGUUUAUAAGGAUGGACACAUGUUCUUGCCAGCGUCGGAAGUUCUGUCCAGAUAAAACCUCAACUUUUGACACGUCCGGAAGUGAUUUUGCAAAGACCGUCUGAAUUCCGGAAAUAAUGGUUUGGCUCUCCGAAAUCAUGUUGUUGAUGUCAGCUAUAAGUCUUAAGAUUGUUGUAAAAAAGUUGACAGAAUCACGAACAAUAUUUCCUAAGGCAUGUAGUUGCACUAUCUUUAAAUACUUAUCAGUGUAUUGCA